RNAcentral lists this ribosomal RNA (1983 nucleotides) under human metagenome. RNAcentral's name for it is "bacterial LSU rRNA". It matches the Rfam family "Bacterial large subunit ribosomal RNA", at positions 444 to 2431 of the family's 2925-position model. The record is from RNAcentral.
AUGGGGGGACCAUCCUCCAAGGCUAAAUACUCAUCAUCGACCGAUAGUGAACCAGUACCGUGAGGGAAAGGCGAAAAGAACCCCGGGAGGGGAGUGAAAUAGAACCUGAAACCUGAUGCAUACAAACAGUGGGAGCGCCCUUGUGGUGUGACUGCGUACCUUUUGUAUAAUGGGUCAACGACUUACAUUCAGUAGCGAGCUUAACCGGAUAGGGGAGGCGUAGGGAAACCGAGUCUUAAUAGGGCGAUGAGUUGCUGGGUGUAGACCCGAAACCGAGUGAUCUAUCCAUGGCCAGGUUGAAGGUGCCGUAACAGGUACUGGAGGACCGAACCCACGCAUGUUGCAAAAUGCGGGGAUGAGCUGUGGAUAGGGGUGAAAGGCUAAACAAACUCGGAGAUAGCUGGUUCUCCCCGAAAACUAUUUAGGUAGUGCCUCAUGUAUCACUUCCGGGGGUAAAGCACUGUUAUGGCUAGGGGGGCAUUGCGACUUACCAACCCAUGGCAAACUAAGAAUACCAUCAAGUGGUUCCUCGGGAGACAGACAGCGGGUGCUAACGUCCGUUGUCAAGAGGGAAACAACCCAGACCGCCAGCUAAGGUCCCAAAUGAUAGAUUAAGUGGUAAACGAAGUGGGAAGGCCCAGACAGCCAGGAUGUUGGCUUAGAAGCAGCCAUCAUUUAAAGAAAGCGUAAUAGCUCACUGGUCGAGUCGUCCUGCGCGGAAGAUGUAACGGGGCUCAAAUCUGUAACCGAAGCUGCGGAUGCACCUAGUGCAUGGUAGGGGAGCGUUCUGUAGGCCUGAGAAGGUGUUUCGUAAGGAAUGCUGGAGGUAUCAGAAGUGCGAAUGUUGACAUGAGUAGCGAUAAAGCGGGUGAAAAGCCCGCUCGCCGAAAGCCCAAGGUUUCCUACGCAACGUUCAUCGGCGUAGGGUGAGUCGGCCCCUAAGGCGAGGCAGAAAUGCGUAGUCGAUGGGAAACAGGUUAAUAUUCCUGUACUUGAUUCAAAUGCGAUGUGGGGACGGAGAAGGUUAGGUUAGCAAGCUGUUGGAAUAGCUUGUUUAAGCCGGUAGGUGGAAGACUUAGGCAAAUCCGGGUCUUCUUAACACCGAGAAGUGACGACGAGUGUCUACGGACAUGAAGUAACCGAUACCACGCUUCCAGGAAAAGCCACUAAGCUUCAGUUUGAAUCGAACCGUACCGCAAACCGACACAGGUGGGCAGGAUGAGAAUUCUAAGGCGCUUGAGAGAACUCAGGAGAAGGAACUCGGCAAAUUGAUACCGUAACUUCGGGAGAAGGUAUGCCCUCUAAUGUGAAGGACUUGCUCCGUAAGCAUAGGAGGGUCGCAGAGAAUCGGUGGCUGCGACUGUUUAUUAAAAACACAGCACUCUGCAAACACGAAAGUGGACGUAUAGGGUGUGACGCCUGCCCGGUGCUGGAAGGUUAAUUGAAGAUGUGAGAGCAUCGGAUCGAAGCCCCAGUAAACGGCGGCCGUAACUAUAACGGUCCUAAGGUAGCGAAAUUCCUUGUCGGGUAAGUUCCGACCCGCACGAAUGGCGUAACGAUGGCCACACUGUCUCCUCCCGAGACUCAGCGAAGUUGAAAUGGUUGUGAAGAUGCAAUCUCCCCGCUGCUAGACGGAAAGACCCCGUGAACCUUUACUGUAGCUUUGCAUUGGACUUUGAAGUCACUUGUGUAGGAUAGGUGGGAGGCUUUGAAGCAGAGACGCUAGUCUCUGUGGAGCCGUCCUUGAAAUACCACCCUGGUGGCUUUGAGGUUCUAACCCAGACCCGUUAUCCGGGUCGGGGACCGUGCAUGGUAGGCAGUUUGACUGGGGCGGUCUCCUCCCAAAGAGUAACGGAGGAGUUCGAAGGUUACCUAGGUCCGGUCGGAAAUCGGACUGAUAGUGCAAUGGCAAAAGGUAGCUUAACUGCGAGACCGACAAGUCGAGCAGGUGCGAAAGCAGGACAUAGUGAUCCGGUGGUUCUG